AAAGUCUGAUGGAGCAACGCCGCGUGAGUGAUGAAGGUUUUCGGAUCGUAAAACUCUGUUGUAAGGGAAGAACCAGUAUGUCAGGCAAUGGACGUACCUUGACGGUACCUUAUUAGAAAGCCCCGGCUAACUUCGUGCCAGCAGCCGCGGUAAUACGAAGGGGGCUAGCGUUGUUCGGAAUUACUGGGCGUAAAGCUCACGUAGGCGGGCAUUUAAGUCAGGGGUGAAAUCCCAGAGCUCAACUCUGGAACUGCCUUUGAUACUGGGUGUCUUGAGUAUGGAAGAGGUAAGUGGAAUUCCGAGUGUAGAGGUGAAAUUCGUAGAUAUUCGGAGGAACACCAGUGGCGAAGGCGGCUUACUGGUCCAUUACUGACGCUGAGGUGCGAAAGCGUGGGGAGCAAACA
Molecule: ribosomal RNA, 404 nt
Filed under: uncultured Pseudomonadota bacterium
Lineage: Bacteria; Pseudomonadati; Pseudomonadota
Description: bacterial SSU rRNA
Rfam family: Bacterial small subunit ribosomal RNA
Source: RNAcentral